UAAAGCCCACAAUGGGUGUGGCCCUAGCUCUGCCCACAGACCUGGAUAAUGUCAGGCAGGCUCUUCAAAGCAGGGUUUUACAAUUACAACAAUGGGUGCUUCAUAAGGAUUUGAUGGUAUUCUUGGACCCGGGACCCAGACUUCUCUUCCUGCCCGGCCGCGGGCGAUUGGGGCUCCCCCGGCUGAGUUUGGCCUCUUCUUAGUAACAACGAUUGUAAAUAAUCAACGUGAGACGCCUACAGGGAUGAGCCUUUGUGAAGGAUGGAAUCACAGCCCCAUUUCUAAAGUAUGAGCGUGGAGAGAGCUGGUGAGCCGACAGGAAUCGGAAAUCUCCCUGCAGUUGGUCCUUUGCGUCCAGUUCACUUUGGCGUCGCUUCCCAGGGCUCCGCACUUCAAAUCACCCUCCACCGUUUCUUCACCUGCCUUCCCCUCUGGGUCCUGUCUCCACAGGGCACCCUUCUAACAUCUGGACCUGAUGUGAGAGGCAGAGAACCGUCUGGAUUCCCCUCCCGGCCUCCCUCUCCACCGCCCUUUUGAUCCAAGAUUGAGUCAUAGAAGACGUCUUCUGGCGAGUGUACGGUGCUGAGUCCAUCUGAGUCGAAGACAGUCAACCCGUGGGUCUUGGGCCAGCUCUGAUCCAUAGGCCUCUCGCUGUUGUG
Molecule: non-coding RNA, 659 nt
Organism: Delphinapterus leucas (beluga whale)
Lineage: Eukaryota; Metazoa; Chordata; Mammalia; Artiodactyla; Monodontidae
Source: RefSeq, a predicted model, not a curated record